GCCGAAAUAGCUCAGCUGGUAGAGCACCUGAUUCGUAAUCAGUAGGUCGGAGGUUCAAAUCCUCUUUUCGGCACCA
RNAcentral lists this transfer RNA (76 nucleotides) under Rickettsiales bacterium. RNAcentral describes it as "tRNA-Thr". It matches the Rfam family "tRNA". From Rfam's summary of the family: Transfer RNA (tRNA) molecules are approximately 80 nucleotides in length. Their secondary structure includes four short double-helical elements and three loops (D, anti-codon, and T loops). The record is from RNAcentral. Lineage: Bacteria; Pseudomonadati; Pseudomonadota; Alphaproteobacteria; Rickettsiales.